This 433-nucleotide ribosomal RNA is filed under the name uncultured bacterium. RNAcentral's name for it is "partial 16S ribosomal RNA". It matches the Rfam family "Bacterial small subunit ribosomal RNA", at positions 29 to 507 of the family's 1533-position model. The record is from RNAcentral.
GCGAACGCUGGCGGCAGGCCUAACACAUGCAAGUCGAACGAGCCUUUCGGGGUUAGUGGCGGACGGGUGAGUAACACGUGGGAACGUGCCUUUAGGUUCGGAAUAACUCAGGGAAACUUGUGCUAAUACCGAAUGUGCCCUUCGGGGGAAAGAUUAAUCGCCUUUAGAGCGGCCCGCGUCUGAUUAGCUAGUUGGUUGAGGUAAUGGCUCACCAAGGCGACGAUCAGUAGCUGGUCUGAGAGGAUGAUCAGCCACAUUGGGACUGAGACACGGCCCAAACUCCUACGGGAGGCAGGAGUGGGGAAUCUUGCGCAAUGGGCGAAAGCCUGACGCAGCCAUGCCGCGUGAAUGAUGAAGGUCUUAGGAUUGUAAAAUUCUUUCACCGGGGACGAUAAUGACGGUACCCGGAGAAGAAGCCCCGGCUAACUUCGUG